GACGAACGCUGGCGGCGUGCUUAACACAUGCAAGUCGAACGGAAAGGCCCUGCUUGCAGGGUACUCGAGUGGCGAACGGGUGAGUAACACGUGGGUGAUCUGCCCUGCACUUCGGGAUAAGCUUGGGAAACUGGGUCUAAUACCGGAUAGGAACCAUCUUUAGUGUGGUGGUUGGGAAGUUUUUUCGGUGUAGGAUGAGCUCGCGGCCUAUCAGCUUGUUGGUGGGGUAAUGGCCUACCAAGGCGGCGACGGGUAGCCGGCCUGAGAGGGUGUACGGCCACAUUGGGACUGAGAUACGGCCCAGACUCCUACGGGAGGCAGCAGUGGGGAAUAUUGCACAAUGGGCGCAAGCCUGAUGCAGCGACGCCGCGUGGGGGAUGAAGGCCUUCGGGUUGUAAACUCCUUUCGCUAGGGACGAAGCUUUGUUGUGACGGUACCUAGAUAAGAAGCACCGGCUAACUACGUG
RNAcentral lists this ribosomal RNA (466 nucleotides) under uncultured bacterium. RNAcentral's name for it is "partial 16S ribosomal RNA". It matches the Rfam family "Bacterial small subunit ribosomal RNA", at positions 28 to 507 of the family's 1533-position model. The record is from RNAcentral.